UACGUAGGUGACCAGCGUUGUCCGGAUUUACUGGGUUUAAAGGGUGCGUAGGUGGGUAGGCAAGUCAGUGGUGAAAUCUUCGGGCUUAACCCGGAAACUGCCAUUGAUACUAUUUAUCUUGAAUACUUUGGAGGUAAGCGGAAUAUGUCAUGUAGCGGUGAAAUGCUUAGAUAUGACAUAGAACACCAAUUGCGAAGGCAGCUUACUACACAGUUAUUGACACUGAGGCACGAAAGCGUGGGGAUCAAACAGG
This 253-nucleotide ribosomal RNA is filed under the name uncultured bacterium. RNAcentral describes it as "partial 16S ribosomal RNA". It matches the Rfam family "Bacterial small subunit ribosomal RNA", at positions 524 to 776 of the family's 1533-position model. The record is from RNAcentral.